Cucumis sativus (cucumber) is the source of this 1555-nucleotide RNA transcript. It is a transcript of the gene named protein PELOTA 1, with no coding region annotated. The transcript has 16 exons. The record is from RefSeq and is a predicted model, not a curated record. NCBI's taxonomy places the organism in Eukaryota, Viridiplantae, Streptophyta, Magnoliopsida, Cucurbitales, Cucurbitaceae.
AAAGAAUAGUAAGCUGGAGUGUUAAUGUGAAUUUAGGGCAUUUUAAUAUGCGAUAUUAACCUCUCUAUAUGUGAUUGAAGUUCGUUACUCUUGGAGGCACUGAAACCUGAUAUUGGAAAUUCAGGCUUCUUUAUUGAAAUCAUGAAGAUCGUACGUAAACAGCUUGAUCCAAAUGGACCUGGUAGCGUCAAGAUGGUGCCGAUUGAUUCAGAUGAUCUAUGGCAUGCGUUCAAUCUGAUAGCUCCGGGAGACACUGUCAUGGCUGUCACCGUUAGGAAAGUCAUCAAAGAGAAGGCUUCUGGAGGAAGAGAUGCAGAACGAGUGAAACUCAAGCUAGAAAUAAAAGUUGAGGAGGUGGCAGAUUAUGACAAAGUUGGCUCUAUUCUGCGGAUACGUGGAAAAAAUAUUCUUGAAAAUGAGCAUGUGAAGAUUGGGGCUUACCAUACUCUAGAACUUGAGCUGAAUCGGCCAUUUGUUUUGAGAAAGGAUGUUUGGGACUCUUUUGCACUAGAUGUACUCCAUCAAGCUUCUGAUCCUGCUGCUAGUGCUGAUUUGGCUGUGGUUUUAAUGCAAGAAGGACUAGCACAUGUUCUCCUUGUUGGAAAGAGUAUGACAAUUACUCGAGCUCGAAUAGAAACUUCAAUUCCUCGCAAGCAUGGGCCAGCCAUUGCUGGUUAUGAAUCGGCCUUGAAUAAAUUCUUCGACAAUGUUUUGCAGGCUUUCUUGAAGUAUGUUGAUUUUAAUGUGGUGCGCUGUGCAGUGAUAGCUAGUCCUGGAUUUACAAAGGACCAGUUCCAUCGACACUUAUUAUUGGAAGCUGAAAGAAGACAGCUAAGACCUAUUAUUGAGAAUAAAUCUCGCAUAGUUCUUGUACAUACAACCUCAGGAUACAAGCAUAGUUUACGAGAGGUUUUGGAUGCUUCGAAUGUCAUGAAUAUGAUAAAAGACACUAAAGCAGCUCAGGAGGUGCGAGCUCUAAAGGACUUUUUCAGCAUGCUCUCCAACGUGAGCUUCCAGUUCUGCGUUUUAUGCAUUGAAGUUAUUUUUUUAAAACACAUAUCAUAUUGGAUCCAGACCGUGCUUGUUAUGGACCAAAACAUGUGGAGGUUGCCCAUGAACGACUGGCUAUUCAAACGUUGCUCAUUACUGAUGAUCUCUUCAGGAAUAAUGAUAUAACGCAGCGGCAAAAGUAUGUCAAUUUGGUUGAUUCAGUUAGAGAUUCGGGUGGCACUGUUCAUAUAUUUUCAUCCAUGCACGUUUCGGGGGAACAACUUGCCCAGAUAACAGGAAUUGCAGCUAUCCUACGAUUUCCUCUGCCGGAUCUUGAAGACAUUGAAAUGUAAAUGUAAUGAGGUUGAAUUUUUUACAAUGUUAUUUUUGUUUAAAACAUUAAUUUAUGGCCAUUGGCCUGCAUAUAAUAAGAUGACAUCUGUAUCUUUGUAUUGUUCUAAAAUUUGUAGAUUGAACAAACAGUCUACCCCUAGAUUAUACUAUGUGUACAUGUCUAACUUUCAAAGUAUAUGUUCUAUUACCAUACAAUCAUAUUUGUCUAUUA